This 649-nucleotide ribosomal RNA is filed under the name Cortinarius duracinus. RNAcentral's name for it is "eukaryotic LSU rRNA". It matches the Rfam family "Eukaryotic large subunit ribosomal RNA", at positions 1 to 621 of the family's 3401-position model. Lineage: Eukaryota; Fungi; Basidiomycota; Agaricomycetes; Agaricales; Cortinariaceae. The record is from RNAcentral.
UGAUCUCAAAUCAGGUAGGACUACCCGCUGAACUUAAGCAUAUCAAUAAGCGGAGGAAAAGAAACUAACAAGGAUUCCCCUAGUAACUGCGAGUGAAGCGGGAAAAGCUCAAAUUUAAAAUCUGGCAGUCUUUUGGCUGUCCGAGUUGUAAUCUAGAGAAGUGUUAUCCGCGCUGGACCGUGUACAAGUCUCCUGGAAUGGAGCAUCAUAGAGGGUGAGAAUCCCGUCUUUGACAUGGACUGCCAGGGCUUUGUGAUGCGCUCUCAAAGAGUCGAGUUGUUUGGGAAUGCAGCUCAAAAUGGGUGGUAAAUUCCAUCUAAAGCUAAAUAUUGGCGAGAGACCGAUAGCGAACAAGUACCGUGAGGGAAAGAUGAAAAGAACUUUGGAAAGAGAGUUAAACAGUACGUGAAAUUGCUGAAAGGGAAACGCUUGAAGUCAGUCGCGUUGUCCAGGGAUCAACCUUGCUUUUGCUUGGUGCAUUUUCUGGUUUGACGGGUCAGCAUCAAUUUUGACCAUAUAUUGGAAAAAGAUUGAGGGAAUGUGGCAUCCUUGGAUGUGUUAUAGCCCUUGGUCACAUACAAUGGUUGGGAUUGAGGAACUCAGCACGCCGCAAGGCCGGGUGUCUACACCACGUACGUGCUUAGGAUGC